AUGAUACCCCCGGUUUACAGAGCUCAUAUCGAACCCGGAUAUCUUCAGUUUCGGGCCUACAAUUCAACCGGAUAUCCGAAUGCUUUCUGUCCAGGUGUAAAAGUUAAAUCGAUAUCACCUGAGUAUUUUUGCAUCGGGGGUUUAUCGAACGACGCAACAAAAUAUGGAACAUGUGGUGACUUUGCAGGAUGGGGAGGAAAGUUAGAUGACGUCAUCGCCCAGUCGUCUGCAAACGGAUCUGCUCAUUCACGGAAAGAUAUUUCGUCUUCCAUUCUUAUAUUCUAUCGUUAGCAUGUAUCUAAAAUUUACAGUUUUUAUGCCCAUGUAUUAAUUAUCAAUCCGCCGUUUCGUGUUGUAAUGUUGUUACAUUUAUGCUUCUUUUGUAUGUCCAAUUUUCAUGUCAUAACACAAAAAAA
Molecule: non-coding RNA, 416 nt
Organism: Styela clava
Lineage: Eukaryota; Metazoa; Chordata; Ascidiacea; Stolidobranchia; Styelidae
Source: RefSeq, a predicted model, not a curated record